Molecule: long non-coding RNA, 390 nt
Organism: Lolium rigidum
Lineage: Eukaryota; Viridiplantae; Streptophyta; Magnoliopsida; Poales; Poaceae
Exons: 2
Source: RefSeq, a predicted model, not a curated record
GAGGACUUGAAUUGGGUCAGAGGUAGAGCAUGAAGGUGAUGUUACAGAAGUUGGAUGAACACGAUAAGGUUAUGUGUUUUCUUCUGUCAGACCAAGGGAUUGGAUAGCUCUUGCACAUUCUGCCUUCGUUAACUGCGGGUGCUUCAGUCUCCACAUCCGACGGAUAUGAUUAUUGUUACAUAGAAGUUAAUGUAUGAUCUUGGAAGAGGUAAAGAUUGGAUAGUACUUCUGCCGAGUUCCUAUUUUUAGAAAUGGUGAAUAUGUUCUAUCUGUAUGUAAUAAUAGCUCAAAAGAUCACACAUUAACUUUAUACUUUCAUUAGCUGUUCCAGAAAAAGAAACAUACAUCUGCAGUGAGACCUUCCAAUCUUCAAUAUAGAGCUUCUUUCAA